UAGCGAUAAUAAUAGAAUAGAAUAAAAAAAAAUAAUAAUAAUAAAAUGAAGAGUUCAUAAUCAUCAUCGUUACAAUAAUAAUAAUAAUAAUAAUAGAAAUAACAAUGUGAAGUACGCAACAUUAGUCAAUUACAAUCCCGACAAAUUAUAAAAAUCGCAAUGAAAGUCAGAUCGAUGUGUAUGCGUGUGUGUGUGUGUACCCCUUUAUAAAAAAAAUAAAAAAUAAAAAAAAAACAGAAAAAUAAACGUGAAACAGAAGAAGAUUGAUUUUCAUCGAUUGGCAGGUAUAUCGCGAGUGUAAAACAUUGUUAAUACUCGAAUUUGUUGCAGCCUCGAAAUACUAAGCAUGAUCGCAAUAUCUCUCUCUCUCUCUCUCUUUCUUUCUGUGUCUUCCUUUUCCAUACCGUUUUCCAUGCCCCAGAUUCUUUCUGCACACAAUUUUAUUACGACACGUAACGCUACGAUACGACAAUUUAUAAAUAGCAAUUAUUCAGCAAUGAGAGAUCGCGGCUACGGAUCCUUCGUCCCUGCGGACAAACACGGCGGAAACGUAAUCGCGUUGGCGGGCUGAACACGUAAAGAACGCAACUAACAGGAAGGGGUAUAGUAUCGGUUUUGAAAUCAUGGUGACAUAUCGUCGAACGAUCGGUGGAAUAGAGAGACCGAGCCGUACGAAGAGAUAAUUGUACGAAUAAAUUGUUCGUUUGACGCUCGGAUCGAUGAACGAUCUGACAAUCACGGUUGCAAGCACGCUUAGGAUCGACGAUGUCGACGAUGUCUUUUUCGCUACGAUUCCGUGAACCGUGUCUACAACGAUAAUACACGCGUAAUGCAAUUAAUAAAGGUAAUGAUGGAAAGGUGAAAGAUCGUACGAGUCGUUUGCUAAACGUUCGAAUAAAUAUAUUACGAUAAAAUGUAUUUUUUUAAAAAUAUAUUCUUUUCUUUUAAUCUUAUUGUGAUAUACGGAUAUAUAUUGUAUUGCGUAAUAUAGAGAUAUAUCACAAUAAAGUUAAAAAGAUAAUGUUUUAAAAAAUGAAUAAUAAAUAUAUAACAAGAUAUUUCAAAAUUAUCGAACUGUUAUCGUUCGCGCGAGACACGCUUGAGAAAAUAUAAUUUGUUAAUUAUGAGAUAACUGUGAUGCGAGCGAAAUUGUGCUUGGAAAUCCAUUUCAUGGUAGAUUUCUCAAGCGAGACGCGAUGAUACGUUGAUAUAAACGUCUCUACACGAGACUGAUAACUUAUAAAAAUAAUUAAAAUUAUUUUGUUAUGUUCAUUGCACUAUUUGCAUUUCUAUUAAAUAGAAAGGACAACGUAUAAUUACCUUCGUGGCGAGAUAAAAUUAACUCGUAUAAUUGAGAAAUUAAAAGAAGAAAAUAUAGAGUAACAAAUAAAUACGUUCGAAUUAUACCGCGCAUGUGCGCGCAUGUACGUACGUUUCUAGACGCAACGCGCAUGCCCGGCGCAUAUCGUAUGCGCGAUCGAAAGGCGCUGGACACGCGCGCGUAAAUUUCCUUAUUAAGGUUACAAAUUAACAUUUUUGCCCGUUAAUCAUAAAGAAAUUGCAAGCAACGUAACUUCUCAUUAAAGUUGCCGUGGCCAGACGUUAAUUACGGUUCCGCGAUAGUUUUUUCUCUUCUCUUUUCGAAACGUUACGCUCGACGCGGUGCCGGAAGCUAGUUGAUUUCCGUGGUUGUGUGAUGUGCGCGAGUGUAGUGAAGGCGUUGGACGGAACGCGGGAAUAAUCACCAUCAACCGGCCAUCAAGGAAGUGUCCGUUGUUUUGUUUAGAAAAAAAAAAGAAAAAAAUCAAACCAUGGAAUGAAAUUACGAAUCGUUACAUGCCAGCUAUAAUAUCCACGGACGAUUUGUGAUCGACGAAGGAUGGCAGUUUCGAUCGAAGCAUGGUUCCUCGUGAUAUGGCGUCCGAACUCGUUGGUCGCUGUUCCCACUCCAGAAAGAGAACCCUCUGCCCGGAAUUGGUCUCCUGUUCCAUCGAUUAAUCAGGCCAGAUAAAGGUCCGUUGGCGUGGAAGUAUGAUCCGGCUUGGUGCAUGCACUUCCGGUUGGCGAAGCGGCACUCGCACCGCUGCUCGCUCUGGUAGCAGCCAAAGGCGAGCGACUGGCCACGUCCGUGCUGUUCUCUGGUCCUGUGUUAUUACAUCCGCCGCCCUGCUGCGAAUUGGUGUGGGAAGACGCCAGCGUGUCCCCGUUGCAGUAGUAAUACGUGGAGUCUGCAAAGGAAACGUUUCUCAGAGGAGGGACAAAAGUAAUUUACGAGCAUCGAGGAAAAAUCCUAGCGAACAUCCACGAGUUUUGUUUCGUAUAAAUAAAUAGGAAAGGUUGUUCGCAAUCCGUUCCAGAAAACAGAACCUGUUGCGACAUGCAAAAUGAGAUAACGAUCGAAACUUCUCAAAGUUCGUCAUGGUCUUGCGAUUUUGUAGGAGGAAUCGAUUAAUAACGGAUCGCGAUGUGCUAUGGUGUAUCCAUCCUCCUGAAUAAAAAAAAAAAUAUCCUUAUCCUAAGAGUGCGAAGUUUUCGCAUUCUUCUUCACAGAUUACAACAAAUAAACCUGUUCCUAGAUCUGGUUACUACAACAAAUAAAUAAAUCAAACCUG
This 2612-nucleotide long non-coding RNA is filed under the name Apis mellifera (honey bee). RNAcentral describes it as "uncharacterized LOC113218725". Lineage: Eukaryota; Metazoa; Arthropoda; Insecta; Hymenoptera; Apidae. The record is from RNAcentral.